RNAcentral lists this ribosomal RNA (440 nucleotides) under uncultured bacterium. Its description in RNAcentral is "partial 16S ribosomal RNA". It matches the Rfam family "Bacterial small subunit ribosomal RNA", at positions 338 to 795 of the family's 1533-position model. The record is from RNAcentral.
CCUACGGGAGGCAGCAGUGGGGAAUAUUGGACAAUGGGGGGAACCCUGAUCCAGCGACGCCGCGUGAGUGAAGAAGUAUUUCGGUAUGUAAAGCUCUAUCAGCAGGGAAGAAAAUGACGGUACCUGACUCAGAAGCCCCGGCUAACUACGUGCCAGCAGCCGCGGUAAUACGUAGGGGGCACGCGUUAUCCGGAUUUACUGGGUGUAAAGGGAGCGUAGACGGUGCAGCAAGUCUGAUGUGAAAGGCCGGGGCCCAACCCCGGGACUGCAUUGGAAACUGUUGAGCUGGAGUACAGGAGAGGGAAGCGGAAUUCCUAGUGUAGCGGUGAAAUGCGUAGAGAUUAGGAGGAACACCAGUGGCGAAGGCGGCUCACUGGACUGUAACUGACGUUGAGGCUCGAAAGCGUGGGGAGCAAACAGGAUUAGAUACCCUUGUAGUC